GGGUGGAAUGAAUGAGGAAAAGGAGGAAGGAUAAAAAUGACAUGGAGAGAAGUAGUCUUAAAAUAUUUAUAAUUUCUUCACAUUGGAGUGGAACUGUUCUCAAAUAGAGCUGAAUAGGGAAAAAGAAUUCAUAUAGCUGAUUUCAACUAGUUUGGAAUUAAACUUCUUGUUGUGUUAGAUAUUUUAAUAAGUGAAUUUGGUAUUUUGUUUAUUUAUUUUAUGAAGCGAUCAACAUGGUUUCUGACAUUUCUUGGUGCUCGACUCCAUCUGAUUCUUGCAUUUAGUAUCUUGUUCAAUCAUUUUCCCAUCUGUGGAGCUUCUUUAUGAAUUUUAGAAU
RNAcentral lists this unclassified non-coding RNA (337 nucleotides) under Hevea brasiliensis (rubber tree). The record is from RNAcentral. Lineage: Eukaryota; Viridiplantae; Streptophyta; Magnoliopsida; Malpighiales; Euphorbiaceae.